RNAcentral lists this unclassified non-coding RNA (6067 nucleotides) under Portunus trituberculatus (swimming crab). RNAcentral describes it as "synaptosomal-associated protein 25-like, transcript variant X2". Lineage: Eukaryota; Metazoa; Arthropoda; Malacostraca; Decapoda; Portunidae. The record is from RNAcentral.
GUGUCUACUCCAGUGAUGUUUCAGAUGCCGGAACAGGACAACGUGACUGGGGAGAAUAUGGGUGACGGGUCGGGUGAGCCCAGGUCGGACUUGCAGGAGCUGCAGUUCAAGUCCAACCAGGUGACAGAUGAAACCCUCGAGUCCACCCGGCGGAUGCUCUCCCUCUGUGAGGAGAGUCAAGAUGCAGGAGCAAAAACACUGUACAUGCUAAACGACCAAGGGGAACAAUUGGACCGGAUCGAGGAAGGGAUGGACCAGAUCAAUGCCGACAUGAAGGAAGCCGAGAAGAACUUGACUGGGAUGGAGAAAUGCUGUGGAUUGUGUGUCCUCCCCUGCAACAAAACAUCCUCACAGUUUAAGGAGGAUGAAUCCACCUGGAAGGGCAAGGAGGAUGGUGUGGUGAGCUCCCAGCCCCAGCGAGUCAUGGACGACCGUAAUGGCUUGGGACCUUCUGGAGGCUACAUUGGACGAAUCACCAAUGAUGCUCGUGAGGAUGAGAUGGAAGAGAACAUGGGCCAGGUGAACACCAUGAUUGGCAACCUUCGCAACAUGGCCAUUGACAUGGGAUCAGAGAUUGAGAACCAGAACAGACAGAUAGGCAGAAUCACCCGGAAGGCGGAGUCGAAUGUCACCCACGUGCAGGAGGCGAACGAAAAGGCUGGAAAACUGCUCAAGUCUUAGACAGCCACCUUCUUGCCUGCCUUCAUGCCAGUGUUUAAUCCAAUUUUUGCAUAGUGCUGAUUCUAACACCACGAGAGUUAACAUGGCCAACGAGAGAGCUGGCUCACUGCUGAAGAACGCAUAAGCGAGGGGUGGGGUUGCCCUACCUCCCCCUCUCCCCUCCACCCCCCACCCCUGCCACAUCUCAUCCAGAGCCAGCACACCACCAGCUGGAUGAGCACAGAUUCACCACCGGAGUGCCGCAUCGGGUGACAGGCAUUGUAGAAAAUGGUGCCGAGAUGCUAUUAUAUCUUGGUCAUCAGUAGCUUAACUAUUUGUUUUCUCUGAGGGUGUGCUAUGGCUACCGACCCCAGAGCUCCCGUGCCGGUGUCUCUCAGUAUUGGGAUCAAUCCAGAAUUUUUUAGUGCCUCCUGAAGGCGUUGUGAUAGCAGGAGAGAGCACGGCGGGGGCGGUGGGGCGGGACAGCCAGCCUGAGGGAUGAGUCUGGGCCUCACGUGGCCCAGGCCCAUUUGCCGGGGUAUGCACUGCCCACACCUGCCAUGCCAGGAGCAGGCUGCCUCUCCUGGGUGUCAGGUGUGGGGCCGAGAUGACCAAGCAGAGCCGUGGAGGUGAUGAGCCCCCCCUCCUCCCCGACUGGAGGCUGGCUCCCAGAGGGGGGGGAUAAUGGGCACUGUUAUACACUUGUCCUUGUCUAGAGUCUUGAAAAUCGUUUUUGUUAUUGUUGAAAAUGAAAUUUGUUAAUUUUGUAGAUAUAGGCUACAUCAUGCAAGCAUAAUAUGGAAGCAUUUCAUCCUCUGGUCAUGAUUUUGUGUGGAAUCGUUUAUGGCCUACUUCCUCCUCAAGAGUCAUUCAUUCAUAACCCUUAGCACACCAGCAUGUAAAUGCUAUUUAUUAUGAAUAUCUGAAUAUGGAUUCUUGAUAUAUUAACCCCGGACAUUAUGGUGAUAUUUUCGUACUUGUGUUUGAUCAUUCCCCAUUCCCAAGGCUCUCUCCUCUCUUGUCUUGUUUUGUCCCAGCAUUGUCCCAGCAUGACCAUUGUUCCCUCUUGUCAACAGUGUUGUCAUAAGUCUUAACAGUAAUAUUGGUGUCUGGAUGAGAUGAGAACAAAUCUGGCCACUUCCUUAUGACAACACUGUUAUUGUAAUGGUUUGUCUAGUGGCUUCUUAUGAGAAUGUGGGAGGUAGCAGUGAGUGGUGCCAGCUUCCCAUCACUCCCUUUCUUCCUCCUUGCCCCUUCCUUCCUACUCCCUUCAUAUUUUCCCCCAUCAUCUUUUUCCACCAGGCACAUAUUAUUCCUUGACACCAUAACUGCUGCACAUAGGUAAUUACACUUAAUUCUCAGCUCCAUAAAGAGUAUUCAUUAUUUAUAUUUCUCAUAUGUUUGUUUCUCACUGAUUGUCUGAUGAUAGAAACAGUGGUCAAGAAUUUUUCCAAAUCAGAGACUCUGUGUGUGAGGACUUUGGUAAUUGGACAAAAUUGUCAUUUAUUAGCAACACAACUUGACAUAUUGUAACAAAGCAAUUGGCACACAGCUUUCAUUGACGAGCUGACCAAUAGACACUCAUCUUCCUUACAUGUUAUAUGAACCUUGAUGUAAGAUGGUGUUGAUCUGAUAUUACCAUCUUACUUGGCUAUUGUUUAUUAUCAGUGCUAUUUAUUGAUCUUAUCUCAGAUGAUUCACCAGCUAGUUAAUAGUCAUUAUUUAUUUAUUUAUUUUUAGACAGUCUAAGAUAUAACAGAGUAUGCUACAUAUAACUCAAAAUCUGAGAUUGGUUUUGUUGUAUAAUCAUAAUGCAGAGUUGUUAAUUUGGUGUAAGGAAAUUAAUGUUCUUCUGGAUUAUUAUAGUCUUCAGAUACUUUUUUUCCCACACUCCCAGGCUUUUACCAAACACUCAAGGAGGUUAUUCAGUGAAGUAAAUUUUCCCUCAUUAAAACUACAGUCUCCUUUAAAUUUUCCCCAUUUUGCUAGCAUCUGUAUCCAAUGAAGGAGAAGUUGAUAUGUUAUUGACUGAAAUAAUAGGUGCACCACUUUAGAAUGGUAGAAUUAAGUAUGCUUAGUUGUUUGACAUUAAGAAUACCCUCCUUGUUCAGGAACUUUGAAGCAUUAUUUUCAUGUUGAGAAAGCAUUUUUACUCUGUAAUGCAUAUUCCAUAGUGUAUUUCUUUUAUAGUGAUAUCAUACUUUAGUAAACAUGUGAAAAUAAUUGUUUCUCACUUUCUUGGUAAGAAACUUAUUGAUACAUGUUUCUAAGUGUUAUUGUAGGAGACAUGGUUCUGUUGUACUGUUCCACACCUGCAGCCAUUGACACUGGUAUUGUUGUGUCUGGGAGCACCAUUUGUUCUCUUUUUAUAUUCCAGUUCCAGUUUUAGAUGAAGGGAUAUUUUUUUGGAGUGCAGUGGUAGUAUGUCUGAAUGCAGUAAGGAUGGGCAUUUAACUGUGUCUGUAGUUGGUUGGUGGUGUGAGAAAACCACAUCCCAGGCUGCUGGAGGGAAACAUGACUGACAGCCUUACAGAAAUGACUACCAGCACAUUGGUGCCACACAAUGUUGGCCCACCACUCUUGGUCCACCCCAGCAGGCAAGGUUGUAGCUUUCUCAUAGUCAUCAUUUGUGGCAGCAACAGUGUCAAGGAUGUCAUGUGUCAUCCUCACAGUUCAAAGGCCUUCCUGAAUUCUUGGUACAAAAUUUUCUUCCCACCUACCCUUCCCCAUCACAGCAGAUUACCUUAGAGGGGACUAAAUUUUGCUGUUUUCAACCCACGUCAUCACUCCGUGUUCCCUGAAGACUGGCAACUCACCCACAGAACUCUGCUUCACUCAGUCUCGUUCCCUUGUGCCCCACCAUGCAUGUUGGCUCCCCUCAAGUUACCUAACUCAGCACUGCUACUGAGGAGUGUAUUAUCAGUAUUAGCUGCCACAACCCUUCUCAUGGAGUUUCCCUGCUACUUUGCAUACUGGCAUAGGUUUUAUAUACUGUCUGGUGUGUUUUUUCUCUAUCAUUAAACGUGGUUGAAAGCUGUGAUAUUCCUUGGUUUGAUCAUGCAGAUCUGUUGAAAAAUCAUAAUAAAGUUGUAAUGUGUAUAUAUAUAUUGCCUACAUAAUAUAUAUAUACAUAUACAUAUAUAUAUUCACAUGUUAGGCCAUAUCAAAACUUUACUGACAGUGGUACAUAAAAGUAAGAUUUUUAGGUAGACAGUAGAAUUUUUGCAUGGCAAUAUAUUGUAGCUGAGAUGCUCAUUUUCUUUCUCCAACCUUUUAUACCAGUGACUCAUCCCCUCAGGGUCCUGGGUGUUUCUUUCUCCUUAGCCAAGUGAUAUUGUCCACAGCUCUGUCUUUCUCUCUACAUUCAUAUGAUAACACAUACACUUAAUACAUGCAUAUGAUUACGUAUACACUUAAUGAGUUAACACACACACACACACACACACACACACACACACACACACACACACACACACACACACACACACACACACACACACACACACACACACACUUCCAGUCCCAUGUUUCUGAACCAGCGCUCACCAUCGUGCAUGCCAUGGGGACGACCCCAUCCCUGUUCCACUUCCCACCCUGUACUAAGAUUAUUUAACGUGCCAUGAUCGGUCGCUGCGCUGUAGGGUGUUGUCGUUGCGUCUUUCUAUAAUAUUGACCUAAAUGCCACCCAUAUUGAACCUCUCCAAGUCAGUCAUUUCCCACUUUCAAAGGAAUAAAAUAUUCUUACCUCCAUCCUCCCUUCCUUUGUUCCCACACUUAGGAGAGAGCACAGUUUGGAGGUGUGUUGCAGGGCUGUGUUGAUUUGAUGGAAGCCUGUGUGUUGAGGGAGGCCUGUAUUGCAGAAUUGUUUGAGUUUGAAGAGUGAUGUUAGUGGAGAUGUUUGCUGAGUGGAGAUGAUAAAGGCCAGGGCUGAAGUUACGUGGGCCAAUAACAAAGGUGUUGAAAGCCCAUCACCAGCAAGGAGGCUGUCAGUGACCCCAGCACUGGCCUCCAGGAGAACAGAACCUCGUGAUGCAGAGUGAAUGUGUGGGCCUGAGCAGAACACACCUGUAGCUGGUUGCCAGGGCUCCCCCUCCCUCCCCAACAACUCAAUAUUGCCAUUAUCUCUGGACUGGAGAUGCCUUUUAAAGUGAGACAGUUUACAUCAAGCCUCCUUAGGGCUCUGCCCAGGAGACCAGUGAACCCAGCAGCACAAUAUGGUGGCAUAUCCGGUUAUAAAUUAGCAUUUAGGUCACUCAUUGUCUUUUCUAUAAUUGUGUCCUUAGUGGUUUGUAAACAAUAAGAGAAGGCCCCCUCCCCAACAAUCCCAAAAGUUAUUUCUAUCCCAUCAUCAUCUCCAUGUUUGGCCUCUCAACCUGUCCCCUUGAAGUAUCCUACUUGAGUCUCCCUCUGCUGCUUCACACAACUGAAACAAUAGGGAACAACUCGCCUGGCAUUAUUUUCAGUUAGUAAUUAUUUUGUGUAUGUGCAUGUACAUGUAUCACCGGCAAGAGGGUGUGGUACUCCUUGGGGGUGGUGCAUCAAGUGUUGGUGAGUCCUGGGUUAGUUCAUGUUUACUGUUCCAUCAGAGAUAUUGUAAAUGUCCACAAAGUUUUCAGGAACAUACUUAACUCAAACCUUCUUGACUUACAAUAAUGCAGGAAUUUAUUGGCUGUUAUCCAGGACUAACCACUUUCUUGGGUUGUGCAGCAUAAUAUAAUUCAAAUAUAAAAUAUGCAGUUUUGUGGUUGUGAUGGGAAUCUUACCCUUGCUAUGCGUUUUUCACACUUGGCCAUGGGGAGUUGUUCUCUCCUGUACUAUUUCAUCUUGGCUCCACAGCCUCUCUUUUUCCUUUCAUUUCUUUUCAUGCUCCCCUCUCCAUUUGUUCUGUUUUCAACUAUCAGAACUCCCAGCCUGACCCCACCCUCUGUCACCCAAGUUGCGUGAUGUGAUGUGGGAAGAAACAGUUGUGUGUGAUGUUUUGUUACUGUGAAAUUACAAACAAGGAGAAAUCAUAUAUGCAAAUAUUGGCCAGACAUUAGUUAGUAUAAACACCAGAAAACAUGCUCACUCUAUAGGGUUAAAGUAUUGUGUAGGGAUCUGAUUACCUAAUUAUAGACUUUUUUUUAAUCUGCUUGGACUCCUCAAUGGAAGCCAGAAAUUUGAUUGGCUUACAACAGAUGAUGAAAAUGGUGAUGAUUUAUGGCAGAUCCACUACCAACCAGUUGUGCACACAACACAGCAAGACAGCCUGUUCCUUGUGUCAGUCGUAUGGUUGGUAGGCUGGAGCGUAGGGGGCAAAAAAAACAGUAAAAUUGAAAAAAACCUAAUAUUUUUUUAAAUCUGUUUUCUGAUAGGGGAGCAUUCAUUAAUAGUACAUAUGUAUCAUUUAAUAAAUAUGUAAGCCAUU